This 253-nucleotide ribosomal RNA is filed under the name uncultured bacterium. Its description in RNAcentral is "partial 16S ribosomal RNA". It matches the Rfam family "Bacterial small subunit ribosomal RNA", at positions 524 to 776 of the family's 1533-position model. The record is from RNAcentral.
UACAGAGGGUGCGAGCGUUGUCCGGAAUCACUGGGCGUAAAGGGCGCGUAGGCGGCUUGAUAAGGUUGCGGUGAAAGCCCGGGGCUCAACCCCGGGUCGGCCGUGGCAACUGUCGAGCUGGAGCACUGUAGAGGCAGGUGGAAUUCCGGGUGUAGCGGUGAAAUGCGUAGAGAUGUGGAGGAACACCGAUGGCGAAGGCAGCCUUCUGGGCCAACACUGACGCCCAUACACGAAAGCGUGGGGAGCAAACAGG